Gasterosteus aculeatus aculeatus (three-spined stickleback) is the source of this 3149-nucleotide long non-coding RNA. Lineage: Eukaryota; Metazoa; Chordata; Actinopteri; Perciformes; Gasterosteidae. The record is from Ensembl.
UGUUAGUCCGUCGUCAUGGGGAUAGGUGUUAGUCCGUCGUCAUGGUGUUCGUCUGACAUGUGUAUCACUGAACGUUGUGGUCCUCGCCUGUAGAUCCUCCCAGGUAUCGGUACAGUCCUGAGCGACUGAAGAAAGCUUUGUCCUGUCAGUCUGACGAGUUUCAACCAGACAGUCGCCAGGGACAACGACAGUCCGAGCCAAUCAGAGAAACACUGAAAAACAGCGAAGGUAAAAAAUCCACCUAAAGCGUUGCCAUGACGACUUCUAUGACAAGUUCAAGAUAAUAAUAACAAUGUUAUUAAUAAUGAUAAAGAUGUUAAUUAUAGUAAUAAUAAUGAUGAUAAUGCAAAUAAUCCGGAUGUUGAUGAUGAUGAUAAUAAUCAAAUCUGCUUUACUUCUUCUGCUGCUGAUUGUUGAUCAGUCAUCGUCAAGGUAAGAAACAAGAAUCGCCUCCUCUUUCUCUUCCUUCUCUUCCUCUACAUCAGAUUAGUUAUCACAAAAGCAGUACACAGUAUUGGGGGGGCUGUGUGUGUGUUGGGGGGGACCAGAGGGGGAGGGGCUCUCUCUCGCUGGGCGUGGUUGAGGGCGACCCGAAGGAAGGGAAGGACUACGCAGACGAUGAAGAAGAGGAGGAGGAGACGGCACCCCCCCCCCAGCGGUCUCCUGGGGCAGUGGAGGAGGAGGAGGACAGCAACUUUGUGGACCUCCUGCUGGAGGAUGACUUCACCAGCUCAGUGCUGGCCGCCGUCUCCUGCUGGGCUCUGUUUUGGUCAGGCGUUACCACGGUGACAAUCUACUUCCUGUUUCCUCCUCACCGGCCCGGCUGCAUAACGCACUAAAAGCCCGCUCGCUCAGGAGCUGUUUAUCGGCUUAAUGAGCUUCACGUGGUGAACUAACACAACACCAAACCUUCAACUUGUAUUAAUAAUAAUGCAAUAAUCUGCAUUUAUUUACUAAAUGAGGAUAUUUCCUAAAAGACAAAUUAAAAAUAUUUAAAAACUCUGACUGUUGUCUGUGCAUAUGCACCAAACAGCAGCUCAGAGUAUUCGGCCUUUUUGGAGACCCUGAAUGGAGUCCUGCAUGGGGCUCCAGUAGGGGACUCCAUAGUCCUACUGUGAGACUUCAAUGCCCACGUGGGCCACGAUGGAGACAACUGGAGAGGCGUGAUUGGGAGGAACGGCCUCCCUGAUCUGAACCUGAGCGGGUGUUUGUUGGACUUCUGUGCUAGUCACGGAUUGUCCAUAACAAACACCGUGUUUGAACAUAAGGAUGUUCAUAAGUGUACGUGGUACCAGAGCACCCGAGGCCAAAGGUCAAUGAUCGAUUUUGUAAUCGUAUCGUCUGAUCUGAGGCCGCAUGUUCUGGACACUUGGGUAAAGAGAGAGGCAGAGCUGUCAACUGGUCACCAUCUGGUUGUGAGCUGGGUCAGAGGAUGGGGGAAGACUCGUGACAGACCCGGUAAACCCAAGCGUGUAGUGAGGAUGAACUGGGAACGUCUGGAGGAGGCCCCGGUCCAGAGAGAGCUGAGCCGGAAGGCAAAGCUCUCGAUCUACCGGUCAAUCUUCGUUCCUACCCUCACCUAUGGACAUGAAGGAUGGGUCAUGACCGAAAGAACUAGGUCACGGGUACAAGCGGCCGAAAUGGUUUCCUCAGGAGAGUGGCUGGCGUCUCCCUUAGGGAUCGGGUGAGAAGCUCAGCCAUUCGCGAGGAGCUCGGAGUAGAGCCGCUGCUCCUUUGCGCCGAAAGGAGCCAGUUGAGGUGGUUUGGGCAUCUGGUGAGGAUGCCCCCUGGGCGCCUCCCAAGGGAGGUGUUCCAGGCACGGCCAGCUGGGAAGAGGCCCCGGGGAAGACCCAGGACCAGGUGGAGAGAUUAUAUCUCUGCACUGGCCUGGAACGCCUUGGGACCCCCCAGUCAGAGCUGGUAGAUGUGGGAAAGGGAAGUUUGGGGUCCCCUGCUGGAGCUGUUGCCCCCGCGACCCAACCCCGGAUAAACGGUUGAAGAUGGAUGGAUGGAUGGAUGGAUGCCUGAUGAAUUUCCUAGUUCAGCUCCAGAACCAAACUCUUCUCAAAGUAACAAAGUCGUCUGUCUGUCCGGCCUCGUGCUGCCAUCUAGUGGUGAUGACGCCAUCAGAACCUCCAGAACCACGACGGGACCAAAGACAGACAGAAUGAAAAGUUCUUUCAGCUCCUGGAACAAAUGAACCCAAAGUUAUAAAGCAAGAGGAGGUUCUUCUUCUCUUCUCUAAGAGCAUCGACCAUCUUCAGGGUCCAACUGGAUGUUCCUGUGCUCCAUUUUGUGAUCAAUAAAAACUACUAAUUACUAAUUAAUCACACAUGUUGAAAUUCAUUUCAACAAUAACAUCGUAACAACAACAAUGCUUUUUAAUGAAUGUUUUACUUCUAAAGACUAAAUCUUCUAAGUAAUCAUUUUAUAAAGUGUGUAUUGUAGACAAUUGUUGAUGUUAUUUUAAACACAAAACUACACACAGUUGAUCCUCUUGGAGGCAGAACAUGUUGAACAUGUUGAACUAGUGUUUCUUCCUGUUGUCCUCGUCCACUUUGCUCUCAACUCUGCAUCAUUUAACGUGUUUCAAGUGGCAACAAUGUCCCCUCAUUCAGCAGGACGUUUUCAAACCAGGUCUUUUAGGGACGCAGUGGUGGUCCUCUGCAGACUGUGCAGGGUAACGUUAGAUGUUGGGAUGGAAGUAGCCUAGCAGCUAGCUUAGCAUAGCGGUGCUUUGGGUGGUCCGUGUUUGACACGUGGAGGAAUUCCUCUGCUCGGUGUUGGAUCACUGUUUGUUUUACUUCCAAUGCGAAACGCAUCUUGCUUUCUCCGAUGUAACUGACUGCUAGCAGCCGGUUCUUUUCAGCGGCCAACAAACGAACGUUAACUAUGUUAAAAUAUUUUGUCGCAUUAAUCUCUGCCACAUUAAUCGCAUAGAUUAAGGCACUUAUGUUGACAGCCUAAUGAAACCACUUUAAACCUUUUUAUCCGACUUUUGUUGAAGCAGGAGGACGGAUGCGGAGUCUCCUUCGACGGCUGUGAGCAGAAAAACGGCCGUUUUCUUGAGGAAGACGAGCCAGGUGGAACCGGGCCAACGGGCGGGCAGGUAAAUGAGAGAGCAGCCGGCGACUCGCACAUUCUCACAG